AGAGUUUGAUCAUGGCUCAGGACGAACGCUGGCGGCGUGCUUAACACAUGCAAGUCGAGCGGAAAGGCCCUUCGGGGUACUCGAGCGGCGAACGGGUGAGUAACACGUGAGCAACCUGCCCCUAACUCUGGGAUAGCUCCGGGAAACCGGGAUUAAUACCGGAUAUGACCUUCACCGGCAUCGGUGAGGGUGGAAAGAUU
RNAcentral lists this ribosomal RNA (200 nucleotides) under uncultured bacterium. Its description in RNAcentral is "partial 16S ribosomal RNA". It matches the Rfam family "Bacterial small subunit ribosomal RNA", at positions 8 to 210 of the family's 1533-position model. The record is from RNAcentral.